RNAcentral lists this ribosomal RNA (253 nucleotides) under uncultured bacterium. RNAcentral's name for it is "partial 16S ribosomal RNA". It matches the Rfam family "Bacterial small subunit ribosomal RNA", at positions 524 to 776 of the family's 1533-position model. The record is from RNAcentral.
UACGGAGGGGGCUAGCGUUGUUCGGAAUUACUGGGCGUAAAGCGCACGUAGGCGGCUUUGUAAGUUAGAGGUGAAAGCCCGGGGCUCAACUCCGGAACUGCCUUUAAAACUGCAUCGCUAGAAUUGUGGAGAGGUAAGUGGAAUUCCGAGUGUAGAGGUGAAAUUCGUAGAUAUUCGGAAGAACACCAGUGGCGAAGGCGACUUACUGGACACAUAUUGACGCUGAGGUGCGAAAGCGUGGGGAGCAAACAGG